UGGCCGGAGAGGUCCAUUGGGAAAUCCAUCCGCUCAACGGAUGGGCGUCCAGUGGAAACCCUCCGGCUUGGGACCGGAAGACCAGAGGGGUACGUCCGGGGUAGGAGUGAAAUCCCGUAAUCCUGGACGGACCACCGGUGGCGAAAGCGCCUCUGGAGAACGGAUCCGACAGUGAGGGACGAAAGCUAGGGUCUCGAACCGGAUUAGAUACCCGGGUAGUCCUAGCCGUAAACGAUGCUCGCUAGGUGUGGCGCAGGCUACGAGCCUGCGCUGUGCCGCAGGGAAGCCGCGAAGCGAGCCGCCUGGGAA
Molecule: ribosomal RNA, 309 nt
Filed under: uncultured archaeon
Lineage: Archaea
Description: bacterial SSU rRNA
Rfam family: Archaeal small subunit ribosomal RNA
Source: RNAcentral